GGACCCGCACAAGCGGUGGAUUAUGUGGAUUAAUUCGAUGCAACGCGAAAAACCUUACCUACCCUUGACAUGUCCGGAAGGCUGCUGAAAGGCGGCUGUGCCCGAAAGGGAACUGGAACACAGGUGCUGCAUGGCUGUCGUCAGCUCGUGUCGUGAGAUGUUGGGUUAAGUCCCGCAACGAGCGCAACCCUUGUCAUUAGUUGCUACAUUCAGUUGGGCACUCUAAUGAGACUGCCGGUGACAAACCGGAGGAAGGUGGGGAUGACGUCAAGUCCUCAUGGCCCUUAUGGGUAGGGCUUCACACGUAAUACAAUGGCGCGUACAGAGGGUUGCGAAGGAGCGAUCUGGAGCCAAUCCCUUAAAGCGCGUCGUAGUCCGGAUUGCAGUCUGCAACUCGACUGCAUGAAGUCGGAAUCGCUAGUAAUCGCGGAUCAGCAUGUCGCGGUGAAUACGUUCCCGGGUCUU
RNAcentral lists this ribosomal RNA (465 nucleotides) under uncultured bacterium. RNAcentral describes it as "bacterial SSU rRNA". It matches the Rfam family "Bacterial small subunit ribosomal RNA", at positions 917 to 1382 of the family's 1533-position model. The record is from RNAcentral.